Molecule: unclassified non-coding RNA, 275 nt
Filed under: Hevea brasiliensis (rubber tree)
Lineage: Eukaryota; Viridiplantae; Streptophyta; Magnoliopsida; Malpighiales; Euphorbiaceae
Source: RNAcentral
CAGCCAAGUAGCAUUUCUCCCGUUCGUCCAUUGCUCCUUUAUUUCUCUCUACCUCACAAUGGCAAAUGCCGGAGUUGUAACCGUCUACGGCAACGGCGCUAUCUAUGAAACCACCACUAAGAAAUCCCCCUUCUCCGUCAAGGUGGGCCUUGCCCAGAUGCUCCGCGGCGGCGUUAUCAUGGACGUCGUCAACGCCGAUCAAGCCCGCAUGGCCGAGGAAGCCGGCGCCUGCGCAGUCAUGGCCUUGGAGCGCGUGCCCGCUGACAUCCGCGCUC